Molecule: long non-coding RNA, 1404 nt
Filed under: Homo sapiens (human)
Lineage: Eukaryota; Metazoa; Chordata; Mammalia; Primates; Hominidae
Description: HSALNT0189758
Source: RNAcentral
GGGGAACCGCCGUCAUUUCGCAGGCAGCAGCAGCGGCACGGAGGAAGGUUGCUCUCUAGAUGUGGGGACUGACAGCCUCCUCCUUUCCAGCAGUGAGAGGGCCCAGCAGAGUCUGGUGUCAGGCUAGUGUUGCUCCGUGGCCCUGAGACCUUUCAGAUCCCGGGCAAAAAGGCUGGUACGGUCUCCCCAUUUCCCCCCCUUCCUGUGCCCCUGGGGCCCCAGCAGCCGAAAGCCCUGGAUGAAUCCGCCCUCUAUCAGGACAAGGCCUCUGCUCCCUUCCCUUUCAGAGGAGCUGCUCACUGACAAACUGACCUACUUUGGAAGACUACAUUUUCUGAUUCCAAGAAUUUGGGGGUGGGAGGGGCUGUGAAACUUCGGGCUGCCUACCCCUGAAUCCCUUUCUACUAAAGUUCUCUAAAACAUUUCACAGUCUCAGAAAACUUGGGGCAAGCCCUGCUCAGUCAAUUAAUGGCAGGAGCUGGGUUUCAGCAACUCUGUUUCCCUUGAAAGAUAGGAAAAUGGAGGGGGUGGUUAUCUGUGCCAUAAAUUAAUAGACUCCUGCUUAUCUCCCCCUUUUCCCUGCCCCAGAAGGGAAUGAUCUGUACCUUUAAAAAGAGAAAAGGGGAGAAAAGAUGGAUUUUCUGAAUCACAUUCUGUGAGGAAUUCAAAUCUCUUGGAAGAACAGGAGAGAUACCCUUUUCAUCAAGUGGCCUGAUGAGGGAAGGUCACCUGGCGUGGAGCAGAAGAACUAUGAUGGCCUGUGGAGGCCCGCAGUGUGCUUCGGGAGGGCUGCAUGCUGCAGCCUUUCCCUCUGCUUCCAUAUGACUCUUCCAGGAGAGAUGGCUGCUGACAUCUAAAAUUCUCAAAGUACAGAGGAGGAGUUCCUGGCCUCCACUUCCAUUCAAAAACCAUCCUGUGCAGAGGCCACUUCUUAUCUAGGACAUGCCAAUCUGCUGAAAGCAGGGAAAACUUGGUUUCAUAGCACGGUGAAGCAAAUCACCUCCAUGAGUAUCCAAUAUUCUCCAUAAACAGGUUUGAAAAGAGCUCCACAGGAUUUGUAGUUUCUCAUUUGCCUGCUUUAUGGUAGGGACUGGAUUUUAUCCAUCUGAGUGUUCCCCAGCACUAAAGCAGGGUCCCAAGUGUACUUGUUGCUCAGUAGUGGUUUUCUGAAUAGGCUUAACUGAGCAGGAGGUAGGAGGACUGGCUCGCUCCUCACAAGGCCAUGACUUUUGUUCUAAUAAAGUCUCUUCCAAUUAAAUGAGUCUACCUGAUCCCUGUCAUUCUGUCAAGCAUGUGGCAGAUAUUGAAUGCCUUUACCCAUUCCAACUCCUUCCCUCCUUAAACAAGAAAGGGGUCAGAGUCAACAUCUUACCUUACAUUACCCGGGUGUUGCCAAUGACUCUC